CCAGGCUCCCGAUUUGCCCGGGAUGCGGCUAGGAGGCCCGCCCACUUCCCAUCACUUAGGGCCUCGCGAGCGCCCGCCCUCGGUUUUGAUUGGUGGGGCAGCGCGCAUUAUCCAGCCCCUUUCCGGGGCGGGGGCGGGGCCGCCUCCCUGUCCCCGCCCUGCGGCUUUCAGGACCGCGAGGCCGCGGCGGUGCUCCCGGGUCAAUCUCAACAUCCAGGCCAUCAGUCCCAGGCUCUCCCCUGCCCCCUUCUUCAGGGAUAACCUCCGGUGCUCUGGAGUCUGUAGCUUCUGA
Molecule: long non-coding RNA, 292 nt
Filed under: Dasypus novemcinctus (nine-banded armadillo)
Lineage: Eukaryota; Metazoa; Chordata; Mammalia; Cingulata; Dasypodidae
Description: lncRNA (ENSDNOG00000050481.1)
Source: RNAcentral